GACGAACGCUGGCGGCGUGCUUAACACAUGCAAGUCGAACGGAAAGGCCCUGCUUUUGUGGGGUGCUCGAGUGGCGAACGGGUGAGUAAUACGUGAGUAACCUGCCCUUGACUUUGGGAUAGCUUCAGGAAACUGGGGCUAAUACCGGAUAGGAGCUCCUGCUGCAUGGUGGGGGUUGGAAAGUUUCGGCGGUUGGGGAUGGACUCGCGUCUUAUCAGCUUGUUGGUGGGGUAGUGGCUUACCAAGGCUUUGACGGGUAGCCGGCCUGAGAGGGUGACCGGCCACAUUGGGACUGAGAUAAGGCACAGACUCCUACGGGAGGCAGCAGUGGGGAAUAUUGCACAAUGGGCGGAAGCCUGAUGCAGCAACGCCGCGUGCGGGAUGACGGCCUUCGGGUUGUAAACCGCUUUCGCCUGUGACGAAGCGUGAGUGACGGUAAUGGGUAAAGAAGCACCGGCUAACUACGUG
This 468-nucleotide ribosomal RNA is filed under the name uncultured bacterium. Its description in RNAcentral is "partial 16S ribosomal RNA". It matches the Rfam family "Bacterial small subunit ribosomal RNA", at positions 28 to 507 of the family's 1533-position model. The record is from RNAcentral.